GAGUUGUGGUGUCCGGCAAGGUUAAGUAAACACGGAGCCGUAGCGAAAGCGAGUCUUAAUAGGGCGUUUAGUCGGAUGCUGCAGACCCGAAACGAUGUGAUCUAUCCAUGAGCAGAUUGAAACCGGUGUAAGAACCGGCGGAGGAUCGAACAGACGGCCAUUGAAACGGCUCCUGAUGACUUGUGGAUAGGGGUGAAAGGCCAAUCAAACAUCGUGAUAGCUGGUUCUCUUCGAAAUAUAUCGAGGUAUAGCGUUGUGUCGUAAUUAUAAGGGGUAGAGCACUGAAUGGGCUAGGGCAUACACCAAUGUACCAACCCCUAUCAAACUCCGAAUACUUAUAAUGUAAUCACAGCAGUCAGGCGGCGAGUGAUAAAAUCCGUCGUCGAAAGGGGAACAACCCAGACUACCGACUAAGGUCCCUAAAUCUUAUUUAAGUGGAAAACGAUGUGAAGUUACUUAAACAACCAGGAGGUUGGCUUAGAAGCAGCCAUCCUUUAAAGAUAGCGUAAUAGCUCACUGGUCUAGUGAUUUUGCGCGGAAAAUAUAACGGGGCUAAAAUAAGUACCGAAGUCGUAGAUUUACACAAUAGUGUAAGUGGUAGAAGAGCGUUGUAUUUAGCAUUGAAGGCGUACCGGUAAGGAGCGCUGGAGCAUAUACAAGUGAGCAUGCAGGCAUGAGUAGCGAUAAUUAAUGUAAGAAUCAUUAACGCCGAAAACCCAAGGUUUCCUACGCGAUGCUCGUCAUC
RNAcentral lists this ribosomal RNA (745 nucleotides) under uncultured Campylobacter sp. RNAcentral describes it as "bacterial LSU rRNA". It matches the Rfam family "Bacterial large subunit ribosomal RNA", at positions 625 to 1373 of the family's 2925-position model. Lineage: Bacteria; Pseudomonadati; Campylobacterota; Epsilonproteobacteria; Campylobacterales; Campylobacteraceae. The record is from RNAcentral.